GAAAUGCGAUAAGUAAUGCGAAUUGCAGAAUUCCAGUGAGUCAUCGAAUCUUUGAACGCACAUUGCGCCCUUUGGUAUUCCGAAGGGCAUGCCUGUUCGAGCGUCAUUAUCACCCCUCAAGCCCCCGGGCUUGGUGUUGGACGGUUUGGUGGAGGCCCCCCUCGUCGGGGUCGCUGCCCCUCCCAAAGACAAUGACGGCGGCCUCGUUGGACCCCCGGUACACUGAGUUCUUCACGGGACACGUACUGGACACAAGGGUGCGCGGGGCACGGUCUGCCUCCCCUCUAGGGAGAAUUAUCUCAAGGUUGACCUCGGAUCAGGUAGGGAUACCCGCUGAACUUAAGC
Molecule: unclassified non-coding RNA, 345 nt
Filed under: plant metagenome
Description: partial contains 5.8S ribosomal RNA, internal transcribed spacer 2, and large subunit ribosomal RNA
Rfam family: 5.8S ribosomal RNA (bases 1-106)
Source: RNAcentral